GAUGAACGCUGGCGGCGUGCUUAACACAUGCAAGUCGAACGAAGCAUUUGCGACAGAGUUUUUCGGACUGAAGUUGCUCAUGACUGAGUGGCGGACGGGUGAGUAACGCGUGGGUAACCUGACUUGUACUGGGGGGUAGCAGCUGGAAACGGCUGGUACUACCGCAUAAGCGCACAAUGUUGCAUGACAUGGUGUGAAAAAGUCUGGGGGUAUAAAAUGGACCCGCGUCUGAUUUGCUAGUUGGUGGGAUUACAGCGCACCAAGGCGACGAUCAGUAGCCGACCUGGGAGGGUGACCGGCCACAUUGGGGCUGCGACACGGCCCCGACUCCUACGGGAGGCAGCAGUAGGGAAUAUUGCACAAUGGAGGAAACUCUGAUGCAGCGACGCCGCGUGAGUGAAGAAUUAAUUCGUUAUGUAAAGCUCUAUCAGCAGAGAAGAUAGUGACGGUACCUGACUAAGAAGCACCGGCUAAAUACGUG
Molecule: ribosomal RNA, 481 nt
Filed under: uncultured bacterium
Lineage: Bacteria
Description: partial 16S ribosomal RNA
Rfam family: Bacterial small subunit ribosomal RNA
Source: RNAcentral